CCUACGGGUGGCAGCAGUAGGGAAUCUUCCACAAUGGGCGAAAGCCUGAUGGAGCAACGCCGCGUGGGUGAAGAAGGUCUUCGGAUCGUAAAACCCUGUUGUUAGAGAAGAAAGUGCGUGCGAGUAACUGUUCACGUUUCGACGGUAUCUAACCAGAAAGCCACGGCUAACUACGUGCCAGCAGCCGCGGUAAUACGUAGGUGGCAUGCGUUAUCCGGAUUUAUUGGGCGUAAAGGGAACGCAGGCGGUCUUUUAAGUCUGAUGUGAAAGCCUUCGGCUUAACCGGAGUAGUGCAUGGGAAACUGAGAGACUUGAGUGCAGAAGAGGAGAGUGGAACUCGAUGUGUAGCGGUGAAAUGCGUAGAUAUAUGGAAGAACACCAGUGGCGAAAGCGGCACGCUGGUCUGUAACUGACGCUGAGGUUCGAAAGCGUGGGUAGCAAACAGGAUUAGAUACCCCGGUAGUC
RNAcentral lists this ribosomal RNA (465 nucleotides) under uncultured bacterium. Its description in RNAcentral is "partial 16S ribosomal RNA". It matches the Rfam family "Bacterial small subunit ribosomal RNA", at positions 338 to 795 of the family's 1533-position model. The record is from RNAcentral.